Molecule: ribosomal RNA, 439 nt
Filed under: uncultured bacterium
Lineage: Bacteria
Description: partial 16S ribosomal RNA
Rfam family: Bacterial small subunit ribosomal RNA
Source: RNAcentral
CCUACGGGGGGCAGCAGUGGGGGAUAUUGCACAAUGGGCGCAAGCCUGAUGCAGCGACACCGCGUGAGCGAAGAAGUAUUUCGGUAUGUAAAGCUCUAUCAUCAGGGAAGAAAAUGACGGUACCUGGGGAGGAAGCUCCGGCUAACUACGUGCCAGCAGCCGCGGUAAUACGUAGGGAGCGAGCGUUGUCCGGAAUUACUGGGUGUAAAGGGAGCGUAGGCGGGGAUGCAAGUUGGGUGUCAAAACUACCGGCUAAACUGGUAGUCGCACUUAAAACUGCAGCUCUUGAGUGAAGUAGAGGCAGGCGGAAGUCCUGGUGUAGCGGUGAAAUGCGUAGAUAUUAGGAGGAACACCAGUGGCGAAGGCGGCCUGCUGGGCUUUUACUGACGCUGAGGCUCGAAAGUGUGGGGAGCAAACAGGAUUAGAUACCCUUGUAGUC